This 329-nucleotide long non-coding RNA is filed under the name Bos mutus (wild yak). RNAcentral describes it as "lncRNA (ENSBMUG00000014106.1)". The record is from RNAcentral. Lineage: Eukaryota; Metazoa; Chordata; Mammalia; Artiodactyla; Bovidae.
CUCUGAACUAAAUGUUAAUAAUAAGGCCUGUAAUACUGUGAGAAGGAAAUGGUGGCAAUUGGCAAAUGGGACUCUGUUGCUUGGUAACAAGACCUGAGGCUGUCCACAGGUGGAUUCUGAAGAGUGUUCCCAUUCCAGUGCCUUCCCAGCCCAAAGCAUGGAUGGUCAGUUCCUUUAACACCAUCCUAAUUCUGAACUCGUAGAUUUUCCAGGGACUCCAAGAUUUUCACAAAGAACAGCAACUGCAGCGGGAGUGGAGCACCCAGGCGGUCUGCAGCGGUGUCCAUCCAUGUGACUAUUUCCUGCGCCAGCACAGUGCCAUAGGUGGG